UGGGGCGUCGUCAAGUGGUAAGACAGCUGGUUUUGGUCCAACUAUUCGGAGGUUCGAAUCCUUCCGCCCCAG
RNAcentral lists this transfer RNA (72 nucleotides) under Fusochloris perforata. RNAcentral describes it as "tRNA-Gln". It matches the Rfam family "tRNA". Rfam says of the family: Transfer RNA (tRNA) molecules are approximately 80 nucleotides in length. Their secondary structure includes four short double-helical elements and three loops (D, anti-codon, and T loops). The record is from RNAcentral. Lineage: Eukaryota; Viridiplantae; Chlorophyta; Trebouxiophyceae; Microthamniales; Microthamniaceae.